Molecule: non-coding RNA, 67 nt
Organism: Cedecea davisae DSM 4568
Lineage: Bacteria; Pseudomonadati; Pseudomonadota; Gammaproteobacteria; Enterobacterales; Enterobacteriaceae
Source: Rfam
ACAGUGCCAUGGCCGUCUGAGCUAAGGUCUGGAAAAACCAAAAGGCGCAGCUUGCUGCGCCUUUUUU